CACUAAGAAGCUAAAUUAGGAGACAGCAUUAGCCUUUUAAGCUAAAGACUGGUGGUUACCGCCCACCCUAAGUGA
RNAcentral lists this transfer RNA (75 nucleotides) under Synaphobranchus kaupii (Kaup's arrowtooth eel). Its description in RNAcentral is "tRNA-Lys". It matches the Rfam family "tRNA". Rfam says of the family: Transfer RNA (tRNA) molecules are approximately 80 nucleotides in length. Their secondary structure includes four short double-helical elements and three loops (D, anti-codon, and T loops). The record is from RNAcentral. Lineage: Eukaryota; Metazoa; Chordata; Actinopteri; Anguilliformes; Synaphobranchidae. RNAcentral also lists the same sequence under 3 other names.